Molecule: ribosomal RNA, 416 nt
Filed under: uncultured bacterium
Lineage: Bacteria
Description: bacterial SSU rRNA
Rfam family: Bacterial small subunit ribosomal RNA
Source: RNAcentral
UCAGGCCUAACACAUGCAAGUCGAACGGAUCACUUCGGUGGUUAGUGGCGAACGGGUGAGUAAUGCCUAGGAAUCUGCCUAUUAGCGGGGGAUAACGUUCCGAAAGGAACGCUAAUACCGCAUACGCCCUACGGGGGAAAGCAGGGGAUCUUCGGACCUUGCACUAAUAGAUGAGCCUAGGUCAGAUUAGCUAGUUGGUGGGGUAAAGGCUCACCAAGGCGACGAUCUGUAGCGGGUCUGAGAGGAUGAUCCGCCACACUGGAACUGAGACACGGUCCAGACUUCUACGGGAGGCAGCAGUGGGGAAUAUUGGACAAUGGGCGCAAGCCUGAUCCAAACAGGCCGCGUGUGUGAAGAAGGCCUUUUGGUGUAAAUUAAAGGAGCGAGGAGGAGGGCACUUAGGUUAAUACCCUGAU